This 253-nucleotide ribosomal RNA is filed under the name uncultured bacterium. RNAcentral describes it as "partial 16S ribosomal RNA". It matches the Rfam family "Bacterial small subunit ribosomal RNA", at positions 524 to 776 of the family's 1533-position model. The record is from RNAcentral.
UACGUAGGGUGCGAGCGUUGUCCGGAAUUACUGGGCGUAAAGAGCUCGUAGGCGGUUUGUCGCGUCGUCCGUGAAAACUUGGGGCUCAACCCCAAGCUUGCGGGCGAUACGGGCAGACUUGAGUACUGCAGGGGAGACUGGAAUUCCUGGUGUAGCGGUGAAAUGCGCAGAUAUCAGGAGGAACACCGGUGGCGAAGGCGGGUCUCUGGGCCGAUACUGACGCUGAGGAGCGAAAGCGUGGGGAGCGAACAGG